This 3822-nucleotide long non-coding RNA is filed under the name Marmota monax (woodchuck). Lineage: Eukaryota; Metazoa; Chordata; Mammalia; Rodentia; Sciuridae. The record is from RNAcentral.
CUUGAUUUGAUAGGAGGUAACAAUGGAAUCUUUUAAAACCAUUUGCUCUGUCAAAUGAUUGUGUUCUGAAUUGUCGUGGUAAAUUUAUUUUUCCAAAGCAAUCGUCCCUAAUUUUUUCAAUCAAAAUAGGUUCUCUUUGAGCUAAUAAUAAUCAUUCAAUGCAAUGCUUUAUGAAGCCCUUCCCUGUUACAGGAAUUGCAGUGGAAAUGUGAUGGACAUGAAUAUUCAACCUUAAAUUUUCUACUUUAUGUGACAAAUACAACAAUGACAUAAGGUAGAGAAAGAAAACUGUUAUGAGGGAGCAAAAAACAGGUAUAAAGCAUGAGGAAGAUCAUUCCAAAGAGAACACAGAACAGUUAGAAAUAUAGGACAAGGUAAAGAAAAGAGGCUUCCUAAAAGUGAGUGAUGAGUGCCCUGAUCCAUCCUUCAAGUCAGGUUUGGUCUUGAAGGAUGGAUCUGGGUACUGGCAGCCAAACAGGACACUGCUGGGAGAAGCUUCAGGAAAGGUGCAGCAUGGGAAGAGGCAGGGCAGGAAGUAUGGCCACAUCAAGGGACAGGGCACUCAGACUGGUACAAAGAGAACGACAGCUCUCAAGCUUGAGUGUGCCUCAGAAUCUCCUGAGAGGCUCUUGACAGCAGAUCACUGGGACCAACCCUGGGGUUUGGGGUCUGGGGUGUAGGUCUGGGAUAGGACCCAAGAGUGGCAGCUGAUAUUGCUGGUCCUGGACCACAUUUAGAGACCCACGGAAUAUAAUGGUUCUUAAAAGCAGGAAAACCUGCUAAACCAGAAAAAGGUCACAUCUUGGAGAAAACAGGGAGUCCCAGAUGAGAAGCAGAUCUUAGACCACACUGGUGGAGCACAAGAUGAUUGAGAGAGCCUCCUAAAGGGGAACACAGUCUAAGGGGUAUACCACGGACUCUGGGGCCACAUUUCCUGGAUUUUUUCCCCAGUUCUGUUCAUGCUCAGCUACAAAGUGGGGAUUCUAAUUAUAUUUACCUCAUAGGGUUAUUAUGAGGAAUAGAUGUAGAAAUAUUUCAUUAGGAGCUAAGGCAUAGUUUAGACAUAGCUAAGUCAAUAUGUUUAUGAAAUAUAAACAUGAAGUCAAGAUGUGUUGAAUCACAAUGUUAAGUGCAAUGUCAGAAAAGCUCAUUAUGAAGUCUAAUCAGCCAGUAAGUGGUGUGAGAGACAGAUGGACAGGAAAACCAAUGAAGAAGCUAUUAUGGCAGUCCCCAUGGAGGAAAAAAAACAAAAGCCUGAAUUACACUUGGGCCUGCUAUGGGAGACACCACAGUAGCAGACAGUCCCAACAUGCAGAUGAGAUUUCUCUAGAUUUGGAACUAGGUGCAUAAAUUUACUUGUGCUUUUUAAUUUUUUUUUUUUUUUUUUUUUUUUUUACUUUUUGUAAUGCUAGGGAUCAAACCCAAGGUUUCACACAUGCUAAGCAAGCAUUCACUCACUAAGCUACAUCCCAGUCCUGUUGGAUUUAUUUUUUUUAGCUUUUCUAUUUUUACCUUUGUGUUUUUAACGCACACUUACACACACCACCUAUAAUAUUGAUUUAAGUAUUUCAAAUUAUAACCCUGAAGAAAAGUCAACCAGAAAAUUGGAUUUUGGAGAUGACAGAUAUCAUAGGUUGAAUUGUGUCCUCCCAAAAUGAUAUGUUGACAUUCUAGGACCUUAUCAUGUGACCACAUUUGGAAAUAGGGUUGUUAGAGGUGUAAUUAGUUAAGAUGAAGUCAUACUGGAGGAGUAUAAGCCUCUAGUCCAAUAUGACUGGUGUCUUUAUACGAACACCAUGUGAAGAGACAUGCACAGAGAAAAGAUGAUGUGCAGACACCAAGGAGAAGAUGGUCAUCUAUAAGCCAAUGAGAGAGGCCUAGAACAGAUCCUUCCCUCACAGCCCUCAAAGGUAACCAACCAAGACAACACUUCCAUGUAAGAUUUCUGGCCUCUAAAACUGUGAAAAAAUGAAUUCCUACUUUUGUAAGUCUCCUUAUUUUUGGUACUUUGUUAUAGCAGUCCUAGCAAACUAAUGUAGCAGCCUAGUGAAAUCAUAGGAGUAGCUGAUUAAAGAGAAAUUUUGUAGAAAACAGAGAACUAGGGAUAAUUUGCAGUGAGGAUGAGCGUAGCUGGGUGCUAUGAUUUGGAAGUGUUUCCCAAAGGCCCAUGUGUUAAAGACUUGUGGCCAGCCUGGGGCACUAUUGGGAGGUAGUGAAACUUUUAAGAGGCAUGUCUACUGAAAAGAAGUUAGGUCAUUGGGGCGGGUCUUAAGGGAAUGUUAGGACCCCAGCCCCUUCCUGAGGCUCUCCUCUUGCUCCUGGUUGCUGUCAUCUGAGCAGGUACUCCUUUGGCAUGCAUCCUUGCCAUGAUAUACUGUACCACCAUAGGCCCAAAACAACAGAGCCAAAUGACCAUUUACUGAUACCUCUGAAACCAUGAGCCAAAAUAAAACUUUUCCUCUUUCUAAAUUGAUUCUUUCAAGUAUUUCAUCAUGGUAAGAGAAAGCUGAUUAGCACAGUGGACCAGAAAGAAAAAAAAUGAUAUAAAAACUUGCUAAAGCAGAAAGCAGGAAAGCUAAGAUGGCAUGUUCUCUAGGGUUCUGGGGAUAAGGGCUCCAUGGAGGAAUGGAUGGGCAGCAAUGUGUUUUUUAAAUGUAGGAUUUUAUUAUUAUUCAAGUCUGGUACAGCCAACAGAUCAGUAGACACCUGCCAUUGAAAAGACAGCUUAUUACACACAGUUCUCAAAAGAAGGGGUUGCACCAUGCCAUGCAGGGUCACAUGGAGAAGCACCAGCAUUGGUCAUAAAGCAGAGGGAGUAAGGGGAAACAUGAGCAAGGGCCUUUCUGCAGGAAAGGCCAGGCAAGGCAGAGCGAGCAGGCUUAGGACUGACUAAUAUGGAUCUUUUCCAUUGCCUCUGGUACAGAGGGACUAUCCUUAGCUGUCUAGUAUACAACCCUCAGUGCGCUGAAUCCAGGAGAGCUAAAAGUAUCCAAGUCUUAUUCUGGAUAGCUGCUCAGUGUGUAUUAGGAAAGGAAGUAUGAAAAACUUAAAAAUUCAAUUAAAACUCUCAACUUCAAAGAGUUGGAUAACAAAAAUUUUUUUCUUAUUAAUGAAUAAUGUAACACAAUAUACCUUUAUGAAGAACACACACACCUCUAGAACAAAGCCUAUAAAAAAAAAUAGAGCCAUCACAGAAGAAGAGAUAUGAAUGGUCAAAAAAUAUAUGAAAACAUGUUAACAUCUCUAGCAAUUAGAGAAAUGCAAAUCAAAACUACACUGAAAUUCCAUCCCGCUCCAGUCAGAAUCACAAUUAUCAAGAAUUCAAGUAAUAAUAAAUGUUGGCAAGGAGAUAGGGGGGAAAGGUACACUCAUACAUUGCUGGUGGGGCUGCAAACUGGUGCAACCACUCCAGAAAGCAGUAUGGAGGUUCCACAAAAAACUUGGAAUGGAACAACCAUUUGAUCCAGUUACCCCUCUCCUCGGUUUAUAUCCAAAGGACUUAAAAUCAGCAUAUUACAGUGACGCGGGUACAUCAAUGUUUAUAGUGGCUCAAUUCAUAAUAGCCAAGCUAUGGAACCAACCUAGGUGCCCUUAAACAGAUCAAUGGAUAAAAAAUGUGGUAUAUACACACAAUGGAAUAUUAUUCGGCUGUAAAGAAUGAAAUUAUGGCAUUUUUCAAUAAAUGGAUGAACCUGGAGAAUAUCAUGCUAAGUGAAAUAAUACAAUCCAAAAAAACCAAAGGCCAAAUGUUUCUCUGAUAUGUGGAUGCUAACUCACAACAAGGGAGGAUGGGGAUAAGAACAGAAGUCCAUUGGAUUAGAC